UCUACCACACAGAUCAGGUCUACACCACAGGCCAGGUCUCUACCACACAGGUCAUUUCUCUAUCACACCGACCAGGUCUUUACCACACAGGCCAGGUCUCUAUCACACAGGUCAGGUCUCUAUCGCAAAGGUUAGGUCUUCACCACACAUCAAGGUGUCCACCACAGAGGUCCGGUCGGUAUCACCCAUGUCAGGUCUAUACCACAGAGGCCAGGUCUCUACCACCUUACUCCCAGAACACAUAGAUCAGUUUAUAGAAAAAAAUCACAACUAAAUGAAAUCUAAUUUCAAUUACAUAUUAGUCAACGUGACUUGUUUCUUGUUUUCUAGAAUUUGAGAUCAGGUGAUACCUAUCUAAGUCCAGUAUAGAAAAUAUAAAUCUAUAAUCAAGAUGUCGAGCAAUCAAGGUAAAAAUAAAACCAAUCUGAUGACAGAACAAAACAAGACAAGACAUCAGCUAGAAGACUUACAUAAAGAUCAUGACCUUAUUAAACAGGAAUUAGAGAACCUGAAGAAACAGAUGGAAACAUUAAAAACAAGGCAAGAUGGAGAUUCCAAACAGAUGUUGAAGAAAGUCGAAAAACUUGAAACAUACAAAAAGCAAACUGAAGAGAAAGAAGCUCUGACAAAGAAGAGAAUUGAUGAGUUGGAGACAUGUUUUAAAAUUCUAACCCUAAAUGAGGAAGAUACACGUCAACAACAACAACAAUUAUUUGAUGCCUGUCUACAUGGUACUUUGAAUGAUAUAAAAAAGAUAGCAAACAUAGAUGUUAACGUCAGAAACAGUGACGACCUGACACCGUUAUUUAAAUGUUGUGAAUCAAGUGUAAGUCCUGUAGAUAAAAUACAAUUUCUAGCCAGUCAUCAGGCCGAUAUUAACGCUAGAGACCGUAAUAAGCAUACCAUCUUACACUGGGCAUGUUGGUUUGGUACUUUAUCUACAGUAGAACAUCUUGUUGAUGAUUUAAACAUGAAUGUUAAUAUAGAAGCUUGGCUAUAUCAUACGCCGUUA
Molecule: long non-coding RNA, 1012 nt
Organism: Patella vulgata (common limpet)
Lineage: Eukaryota; Metazoa; Mollusca; Gastropoda; Patellidae
Exons: 3
Source: RefSeq, a predicted model, not a curated record